UACGAAGGGGGCUAGCGUUGUUCGGAAUUACUGGGCGUAAAGCGCGCGCAGGCGGCUAUCCAAGUCAGUGGUGAAAGCCCGGAGCUCAACUCCGGAACUGCCAUUGAAACUGUUUAGCUUGAGGACGAGAGAGGUGAGUGGAAUUCCGAGUGUAGAGGUGAAAUUCGUAGAUAUUCGGAGGAACACCAGUGGCGAAGGCGGCUCACUGGCUCGGUACUGACGCUGAGGUGCGAAAGCGCGGGGAGCAAACAGG
Molecule: ribosomal RNA, 253 nt
Filed under: uncultured bacterium
Lineage: Bacteria
Description: partial 16S ribosomal RNA
Rfam family: Bacterial small subunit ribosomal RNA
Source: RNAcentral